RNAcentral lists this ribosomal RNA (344 nucleotides) under uncultured Wautersiella sp. RNAcentral describes it as "bacterial SSU rRNA". It matches the Rfam family "Bacterial small subunit ribosomal RNA", at positions 158 to 508 of the family's 1533-position model. Lineage: Bacteria; Pseudomonadati; Bacteroidota; Flavobacteriia; Flavobacteriales; Weeksellaceae. The record is from RNAcentral.
GGGGCGUAAUACCGAAUGCGCUCGCCGGGUCGCAUGACCUGGUGAGGAAAGGGUCGCAAGAUCGCUGGAGGACGGUCCCGCGGCCUAUCAGCUUGUUGGCGGGGUAACGGCCCACCAAGGCGAUGACGGGUAGCUGGCCUGAGAGGGUGGUCAGCCACACUGGAACUGAGACACGGUCCAGACUCCUACGGGAGGCAGCAGUUGGGAAUCUUGGGCAAUGGGCGCAAGCCUGACCCAGCGACGCCGCGUGGGGGAUGAAGGCCUUCGGGUUGUAAACCCCUGUCAGGAGGGACGAAGCCGCAAGGUGACGGUACCUCCAGAGGAAGCCCCGGCUAACUACGUGC